UAUAGGAAUGUAGUGAUAGUAACAACUAACACUUUAAAAACCAUAUAACGGCUUACAAAGCGCCAUUUGUGCAAACUGACUUACUGCAUUUACUUUCUCUCCUGCUUGCAGGUUCUCUGCGCUCCAGAACCACAGGUGACCCUGCGGAGAUGACCGUCCUCGAGGUCAGCAACGUGCUACCAAUUUCACCUGAUCACUGUGUGCAGAAUCCGGAAAGCCUAGGUGUGGUCCCCAAGGGUAAUCUCCAAAGGGUGCGUCUUCCGUGGCCCAGCUCGGAUUUCAACCCCGCGUACUUGCUCGUAGCGCCCCAGCCUCCACGUCACGUUCUUUACGAGUUAACGGUGCAUUUACUGAAAGCAGAGUUAGCCCUCUGUUAGGACACACGUGUGACAGUGGGUUUCUGCCUGGCGCGAUUCGAUAUACUGGCUAUUAAGCCACCGAAAGACGGCUGAGGUCUAGACUCGCUUGCUGACGGACGCUGGCAGUGCAUUUGGGAUGUGUUCAGAUGCAAGGAAACAUGACGUCCACUCAGUUCUGUCCCAGAUGCACCGAAGAAUUUGAGACCGGAGCCCAGCAUGGGGAGGGAGAGUUGACUGAGUAGAGGGAGAACUCGACGCCAAUGUCCUAUUCGACAGAGACCGCAGCAACCUGUAUGCCUCG
This is a long non-coding RNA of Lynx canadensis (Canada lynx), 660 nucleotides long. RefSeq lists it as uncharacterized. The transcript has 3 exons. The record is from RefSeq and is a predicted model, not a curated record. Lineage: Eukaryota; Metazoa; Chordata; Mammalia; Carnivora; Felidae.